UGCCCCGUGGCUGAGUUGGUUACAGCGUCCGACUGUUAUUUGACUGUUUGCAUAUUACAUCGGAAGGUCGUGAGUUCGAGCCUCAUCGGGGCAG
Molecule: non-coding RNA, 94 nt
Organism: Rhodofomes roseus
Lineage: Eukaryota; Fungi; Basidiomycota; Agaricomycetes; Polyporales; Fomitopsidaceae
Source: the annotation of a RefSeq genome assembly